GUGUUAGUAGUUUAACUGGCAAAAUUGCAAGGUGACGUUCUUGAGAUUGGAGUUCGAAUCUCCACUAGCGCA
RNAcentral lists this transfer RNA (72 nucleotides) under Siphoviridae sp. ctnPP24. RNAcentral's name for it is "tRNA-OTHER". It matches the Rfam family "tRNA". Rfam says of the family: Transfer RNA (tRNA) molecules are approximately 80 nucleotides in length. Their secondary structure includes four short double-helical elements and three loops (D, anti-codon, and T loops). The record is from RNAcentral. RNAcentral also lists the same sequence under 1 other name. Lineage: Duplodnaviria; Heunggongvirae; Uroviricota; Caudoviricetes.